Molecule: ribosomal RNA, 497 nt
Filed under: uncultured bacterium
Lineage: Bacteria
Description: partial 16S ribosomal RNA
Rfam family: Bacterial small subunit ribosomal RNA
Source: RNAcentral
GACGAACGCUGGCGGCGUGCCUAAUACAUGCAAGUUGAGCGCGGAAGGCUGGUCCUUGUACCAACUGGUUGAGCAGCGAACGGGUGAGUAACGCGUGGGAAAUCUGCCUUUGAGCGGGGGACAACAUUUGGAAACGAUUGCUAAUACCCCAUAAAAACUUUAAACACAAUUUUCAAGUUUUAAAUAUGCAAUUGCAUAACUUAAAAACGUUCCCGCGUGGUAUUCGCUAGUUGGUGAGGGAAAGGCUCACCGAGGCGAUGUAAUAUAGCCGACCUGCAAGGGUAAUCUGCCAAGUUGGGACUGGAGCACGGCCCAAAACCCUGGGGGUGGCAGCAGUAGGGAAUCUUCGGCGAAGGCAGAAAGUCUGAACAAGCAACGCCGCGCGAGAGCAGGAGGCUGUCAGAUCGUAAAACUCUGUUGGUAGAGAAGAACGUUGGUGAGAGUGGAAAGCUCAUAAAGUGACGGUAACUGCAGAGAAAGGGACGGCUAACUACGUG